UGAGUACGAGCGGCUACGGCCGCGAAGUGGAUGAUGUCAAGCUUCCAAGAAAAGCCCUAUACCCGUUAAGGCAUGAUGGCCUGUACCCGAAACCGACACAGGUGGGGUGGUAGAGAAUACCGAGGGGCGCGAGGUAACUCUCUCUAAGGAACUCGGCAAAAUGGCCCCGUAACUUCGGGAGAAGGGGUGCCACCGCGAGGUGGUCGCAGUGAAGAGGCCCAGGCGACUGUUUACCAAAAACACAGGUCUCCGCUAAGUCGCAAGACGAUGUAUGGGGGCUGACGCCUGCCCAGUGCCGGAAGGUUAAGGAAGCUGGUCAGCGCAAGCGAAGCUGGCGACUGAAGCCCCGGUCAACGGCGGCCGUAACAAUAACGGUCCUAAGGUAGCGAAAUUCCUUGUCGGGUAAGUUCCGACCCGCACGAAAGGCGUAACGAUCUGGGCGCUGUCUCGGAGAGAGGCUCGGCGAAAUAGAAUUGUCUGUGAAGAUGCGGACUACGUGCACCCGGACAGAAAGACCCUACGAAGCUUUACUGUAGCUUGGUAUUGUGCUCGGGCUCGGAAUGCGCAGGAUAGGUGGGAGGCUUUGAUCCAUUGCUUGCGGGUGAUGGUGAGCCACUGGUGAGAUACCACUCUUUCCGAGCUAGAGUUCUAACAGCAACCCGUUAUCCGGGUGCUGGACAGUAUCAGGUGGGCAGUUUGACUGGGGCGGUCGCCUCCUAAAAGGUAACGGAGGCGCGCAAAGGUCUGCUCAGGCUGGUUGGAAAUCAGCCGACGAGUGUAAAAGCUGAAGCAGGCUUGACUGUGAGACCUACAAGUCGAACAGGGAGGAAACUCGGCUUUAGUGAUCCGACGGUUCUGCGUGGAAGGGCCGUCGCUCAACGGAUAAAAGUUACUCUAAGGAUAACAGGCUGAUCUCCCCCAAGAGUUCACAUCGACGGGGAGGUUUGGCACCUCGAUGUCGGCUCAUCGCAACCUGGGGCUGAAGUCGGUCCCAAGGGUUGGGCUGUUCGCCCAUUAAAGCGGUACGCGAGCUGGGUUCAGAACGUCGUGAGACAGUUCGGUCCAUAUCCGGUGCACGCGCAGGAAUAUUGAGAGGAUUUCUCCCUAGUACGAGAGGACCGGGAGGAACGCACCUCUGGUGUGCCAGUUAUCGUGCCAACGGUAAACGCUGGGUAGCCAUGUGCGGAGUGGAUAACCGCUGAAAGCAUCUAAGUGGGAAGCCCACCUCAAGAUGAGUAUUCCCAUGGCAUAAGCCAGUAAGGUCACGGGAAGAACACCCGUUGAUAGGCUCUACGUGGAAGCGCAGUAAUGUGUGAAGCGGAGGAGUACUAAUAGACCGAGGGCUUGAC
RNAcentral lists this ribosomal RNA (1349 nucleotides) under metagenome. RNAcentral describes it as "bacterial LSU rRNA". It matches the Rfam family "Bacterial large subunit ribosomal RNA", at positions 1564 to 2925 of the family's 2925-position model. The record is from RNAcentral.